UGGGGAAUAUUGCACAAUGGGCGAAAGCCUGAUGCAGCAACGCCGCGUGAGUGAUGAAGGUCUUCGGAUUGUAAAGCUCUGUCUUUUGGGACGAUAAUGACGGUACCAAAGGAGGAAGCCACGGCUAACUACGUGCCAGCAGCCGCGGUAAUACGUAGGUGGCGAGCGUUGUCCGGAUUUACUGGGCGUAAAGGGUGCGUAGGCGGAUGUUUAAGUGAGAUGUGAAAUACCCGGGCUUAACUUGGGUGCUGCAUUUCAAACUGGAUAUCUAGAGUGCAGGAGAGGAGAAUGGAAUUCCUAGUGUGGCGGUGAAAUGCGUAGAGAUUAGGAAGAACACCAGUGGCGAAGGCGAUUCUCUGGACUGUAACUGACGCUGAGGCACGAAAGCGUGGGUAGCAAACAGGAUUAGAUACCCUGGUAGUCCACGCCGUAAACGAUGAGUACUAGGUGUAGGAGGUAUCGACCCCUUCUGUGCCGCAGUAAACACAUUAAGUACUCCGCCUGGGAAGUACGAUCGCAAGAUUAAAACUCUAAAGUGAAUUGAC
This 545-nucleotide ribosomal RNA is filed under the name uncultured bacterium. RNAcentral's name for it is "partial 16S ribosomal RNA". It matches the Rfam family "Bacterial small subunit ribosomal RNA", at positions 355 to 914 of the family's 1533-position model. The record is from RNAcentral.